Molecule: ribosomal RNA, 253 nt
Filed under: uncultured bacterium
Lineage: Bacteria
Description: partial 16S ribosomal RNA
Rfam family: Bacterial small subunit ribosomal RNA
Source: RNAcentral
UACGUAGGGGGCAAGCGUUGUCCGGAUUUAUUGGGCGUAAAGAGCGUGUAGGCGGCUUGGUAGGUCCGCUGUGAAAACUCGAGGCUCAACCUCGAGAUGUCGGCGGAAACCACUUGGCUAGAGUCCGGAAGAGGAGAGUGGAAUUCCUGGUGUAGCGGUGAAAUGCGCAGAUAUCAGGAAGAACACCUAUGGCGAAGGCAGCUCUCUGGGCCGAUACUGACGCUGAGGAGCGAAAGCGUGGGGAGCGAACAGG